Molecule: ribosomal RNA, 433 nt
Filed under: uncultured bacterium
Lineage: Bacteria
Description: partial 16S ribosomal RNA
Rfam family: Bacterial small subunit ribosomal RNA
Source: RNAcentral
AACGAACGCUGGCGGCAUGCCUAACACAUGCAAGUCGAACGAGACCUUCGGGUCUAGUGGCGCACGGGUGCGUAACGCGUGGGAACCUGCCCUUAGGUUCGGAAUAACUCCCCGAAAGGGGUGCUAAUACCGGAUAAUGUCUUCGGACCAAAGAUUUAUCGCCUUUGGAUGGGCCCGCGUUGGCUUAGCUAGUUGGUAGGGUAAAAGCCUACCAAGGCGACGAUCCAUAGCUGGUCUGAGAGGAUGAUCAGCCACACUGGGACUGAGACACGGUCCAGACUCCUACGGGAGGCAGCAGUGGGGAAUAUUGGACAAUGGGCGAAAGCCUGAUCCAGCAAUGCCGCGUGAGUGAUGAAGGCCUUAGGGUUGUAAAGCUCUUUUACCCGGGAUGAUAAUGACAGUACCGGGAGAAUAAGCUCCGGCUAACUCCGUG